GGCGAACGGGUGAGUAGCACGUGGGCAACCUGUCCUCUCGUGGGGGAUAACACCGAGAAAUCGGUGCUAAUACCGCAUGUCAUCGCCGGAGGCAUCUUCGGCGAGAAAAGCAGCAAUGCGCGAGUGGGUGGGCCCGCGGCUAUCAUGCUUAUCGGUGGGGUAACGGCCUACCGAGGCUUUGACGGGUAGCUGGUCUGAGAGGACGACCAGCCACACGGGGACUGAGACACGGUCCCGACUCAUACGGGAGGCAGCAGUAAGGAAUCUUCCGCAAUGGGCGAAAGCCUGACGGAGCGACGCCGGUGUGGGGAUGAAGUCUCUCGGGACGUAAACCACUUGUCCGGAAGGGGAAGAAGAACGGACCGGUACCCCUCCAAGAAAGCCCCGGCUAACUACGUGCCAGCAGCCGCGG
Molecule: ribosomal RNA, 412 nt
Filed under: uncultured bacterium
Lineage: Bacteria
Description: bacterial SSU rRNA
Rfam family: Bacterial small subunit ribosomal RNA
Source: RNAcentral